CCGGCCCAGGUGGCAGGCGCGCCCGUUGGGCACUGGGGGACGCGGGCGCGUCAGGUGAAGACUGGGGGCUGCAGGCGCGCUAGGAGAACUAUGCCAUUUUUGGGUCAGGACUGGAGAUCUCCUGGAUGGAGUUGGAUUAAGACAGAAGAUGGCUGGAAGAAUUGUGAAUCUUGUAGUCAGAAACUUGAAAGAGAGAAUAACCAUUGUAACAUCAGUCACAGCAUUAUCUUAAAUAGCGAAGAUGGAGAAAUACUCAAUAAUGAAGAGCAUGAAUAUGCAUCCAAAAAAAGAAAAAGGACCAUUUUAGAAAUGACACAAAUACUCAAAGUUUUUAUCAUGAAAAAUGGAUCUAUGUCCAUAAAGAAAGCACAAAAGAAAGGCAUGGCUAUUGCACCUUGGGAGAAACCUUUAAUCGGUUAGACUUCUCAAGUGCAAUUCAAGAUACCCGAAGGUUCAAUUAUGUGGUCAAACUGCAGGACAAAUUCGAGCAUCUUAAAAUGAUUCAACAGGAGGAGAUAAG
Molecule: long non-coding RNA, 520 nt
Filed under: Homo sapiens (human)
Lineage: Eukaryota; Metazoa; Chordata; Mammalia; Primates; Hominidae
Description: non-protein coding lnc-RTP5-8:15
Source: RNAcentral